Molecule: long non-coding RNA, 543 nt
Filed under: Junco hyemalis (dark-eyed junco)
Lineage: Eukaryota; Metazoa; Chordata; Aves; Passeriformes; Passerellidae
Description: lncRNA (ENSJHYG00000005106.1)
Source: RNAcentral
CAGUGCUGACAUUAGUGGUUGUCAGAAUAAUGUCAGCCUGUGACAUCCUGCUGCAAGGCGAGCUCUAGGACAAUGACAAAGGCACCUCCUCCUAGGUAGAGGCCUUGUUUGUUGCAGACCACUGGAUUAAAUCUUGAAAUAGAAUAUCUUCUCUUUUCAGAAGAGGAUCAUGUCAUGGGCCUAACUGCUUCUCAGGCUGGGGAUGUCUCCACAGAGCUCACAGUGGACAGAGUGGCAGCAGCUCUGCAAGACCUGCAGCAGCACCUGGAGCAUUCCCAGAAAGAUCUGAAUGAUGCAAGGAACAGGAUACAGGCCUUGGAGCUGGAGCUGGGCACGGGACAGGAUCAGAUGGACAAUCUCAGAGCCAGCAAUCAGGAGCUGCAGAUACAGUUGGAUGAAAGUCGGGCAGCAAUGUUGAGGGCAGAACACCAGAAGACCUCUCUAGAAACUGCCUUGAAGGAAGAAACCAUUACCCUGAAGGAAGAGGCUGUGACUCUUCGUCAGGAGGUGGCAUCUCUGAAAAAGAAAUUGGAAAACCUGGAG